This 2171-nucleotide ribosomal RNA is filed under the name freshwater metagenome. Its description in RNAcentral is "bacterial LSU rRNA". The stretch from base 1 to 1932 matches the Rfam family "Bacterial large subunit ribosomal RNA", at positions 616 to 2925 of the family's 2925-position model. The record is from RNAcentral.
UGGGUCAGCGACUUACAUUCAGUGGCAAGGUUAACCGAGUAGGGAAGCCGUAGAGAAAUCGAGUCCGAAUAGGGCGUUCAGUCGCUGGGUGUAGACCCGAAACCAAGUGAUCUAUCCAUGGCCAGGGUGAAGCGCGGGUAAUACCGCGUGGAGGCCCGAACAAGUGGAAGUUGAAAAUUCCUUUGAUGAGCUGUGGAUAGGGGUGAAAGGCCAAUCAAACUGGGUGAUAGCUGGUUCUCUCCGAAAUAUAUUUAGGUAUAGCGUCAGGUAAAUUCUAUCGCGGAGGUAGAGCACUGAAUGGGCUAGGGGUCUUUACCAGAUUACCAAACCCAACCAAACUCCGAAUGCCGUUGAUAUCUACUCCGGGAGGCAGUCACGGGGUGAUAAGGUCACGUGACGAGAGGGAAAGAGCCCAGACCAUCAGCUAAGGUCCCAAAGUACAUGCUAAGUGGAGAACGUUGUGGGGUUACUGAGACAACUAGGAGGUUGGCUUAGAAGCAGCAAUCCUUUAAAGAAAGCGUAAUAGCUCACUAGUCUAGUGACUCUGCGCGGAAGAUAUAACGGGGCUCAAGCAUGUCACCGAAGCUAUGGGUGUGCAGCAAGUGCUGCACGCGGUAGAAGAGCGUUCUAGUGUAGGCUGAAGGUCGAUCGUGAGGACGGCUGGACGAACUAGAAGUGAUCAUGCUGACGUAAGUAGCGUUUAACAGAGGUGAAAAACCUCUGCGCCGUAAACUCAAGGGUUCCUGGGCAAGGAUAAUCCUCCUAAGGGUUAGUCAAGUCCUAAGAUGAGGCCAAGAGGCGUAAUCGAUGGCAACACGGUUAAUAUUCCGUGACCAGUAUAAGCGUAGCGUAGGAGGGACGGGGUAGGUCGUCUCAAGCCGGUUAAUGGUUCCGGUCUAAGCGUGUAGGAGGUCUUGUAGGCAAAUCCGCAAGACAACUCUGAAGCGUGGGCGAAGGGCCUUGUGCCCUGAAGUUGAGAUUAGCCAUGCCUCCAAGAAAAGCUUCGACGUGUUUUCUUAUACUGCCUGUACCGUAAACCGACUCAGGUGAGUGGGAUGAGUAUUCUCAGGCGAUUGGGUUAAAUCUGGUUAAGGAACUCGGCAACUUAACACCGUAACUUCGGGAAAAGGUGUGCCGCUUGGAGUGUAUGGGCUUGCCCCAAAAGCUUUGGGCGGUCGCAGAGAAAUGGGAGUAGCGACUGUUUAUCAAAAACACAGGCAUGUGCAAAGUCUCAAGACGACGUAUACGUGCUGACGCCUGCCCGGUGCUGGAAGGUUAAGAGGAUUAGUUAGCCGCAAGGCGAAGCUGAGAAUCGAAGCCCCAGUAAACGGCGGCCGUAACUAUAACGGUCCUAAGGUAGCGAAAUUCCUUGUCGGGUAAGUUCCGACCUGCACGAAUGGCGUAACGACUUCUCCGGUGUCUCAACCAGAUGCCCAGCGAAUUCGAAUUCUCGGUGAAAAUGCCGGGUACCCGCAGAAAGACGGAAAGACCCCGUGAACCUUUACUGUAACUUGGCAGUGAAUUUAGAGUCUGCAUGUGUAGGAUAGGUGGGAGCCUUUGAAGCCGGGACGCUAGUCUCGGUGGAGGCAACCUUGAAAUACCACCCUUGUAGUCUUUGAGUUCUAACCUGCGCCCUUAUCAGGGCGAGGGACACUGUCUGGUGGGCAGUUUGACUGGGGCGGUCGCCUCCCAAAGAGUAACGGAGGCGUACGAAGGUCCGCUCAGCCUGAAUGGAAACCAGGCGUCGAGUGCAUUGGCAUAAGCGGGCUUAACUGCGAGUCCUACAAGACGAGCAGGUGCGAAAGCAGAACUUAGCGACCCGACUAUUCAUUAUAGAAAGGUAGGAGAUAACGGACUUAGAGUUUUUGGAAGUCCUCAAUUUUCAACGGCUUCUCUAGAAGAUGGCGUCUUUAGAUGUGAAUUUUUAGCCCAUGUACUACCAAAAGUAGGACUUAAAAAAUACACAGGUUUCGAUAUACCAUCACCUGCCAUGCCCUCUCUUGAGGAGAUGACUGCUCGACUUAUGGAAGAGUUUAGGAUGAAAUAUGCAAAUAUGCGUAUGUUUGAAGAUGGUGAUUUCGUACAAGAGAAUGAUACCGUGAUAUUUAAUCUUGGAGUUGAAUCAUCUAACGGAUCUUUAUUGCAACAGAUUGACGGAGAGACGGUUUCCA